Molecule: ribosomal RNA, 362 nt
Filed under: Loxopholis guianense
Lineage: Eukaryota; Metazoa; Chordata; Lepidosauria; Squamata; Gymnophthalmidae
Description: partial small subunit ribosomal RNA
Rfam family: Bacterial small subunit ribosomal RNA
Source: RNAcentral
CACGACACAUGUCCGCCAGAAAAUUACGGGCAAUUUUAGCCUAAAACUCAAAAGACUUGACGGUGCCCCAACCUACCUAGAGGAGCCUGUUCCAUAAUCGAUACCCCACGAUCAACCCUACCACCCCUAGAACCAAAACAGCCUAUAUACCGCCGUCACCAGCCUACCUUUUUAAAGAUACACAGUGAGCACAAUAGUAUUUUACUAACACGUCAGGUCAAGGUGUAGCCAAUGAGGUGGUGUUAAUGGGCUACAUUAUCUGCCACAGAUCACCUACGAACUAUUCUUUGACAUAAUUAUAUUAAGGUGGAUUUAGCAGUAAACUAAGCAAGAAUACCUAGUUUAACACAUGCUCUGGGACA